UACGGAGGGUGCAAACGUUGCUCGGAAUCAUUGGGCGUAAGCGCACGUAGGCGGUCUGUUAAGUCGGAUGUGAAAGCCCCGGGCUCAACCCGGGAAGUGCAUACGAAACUGGCGGACUUGAAUAUGGAAGAGGGUCGCGGAAUUCCCGGUGUAGAGGUGAAAUUCGUAGAUAUCGGGAGGAACACCAGUGGCGAAGGCGGCGACCUGGGCCAAUAUUGACGCUAAUGUGCGAAAGCGUGGGGAGCAAACAGG
This 252-nucleotide ribosomal RNA is filed under the name uncultured bacterium. Its description in RNAcentral is "partial 16S ribosomal RNA". It matches the Rfam family "Bacterial small subunit ribosomal RNA", at positions 524 to 776 of the family's 1533-position model. The record is from RNAcentral.